RNAcentral lists this ribosomal RNA (455 nucleotides) under uncultured bacterium. RNAcentral's name for it is "bacterial SSU rRNA". It matches the Rfam family "Bacterial small subunit ribosomal RNA", at positions 340 to 786 of the family's 1533-position model. The record is from RNAcentral.
UACGGAAGGCAGCAGUGGGGAAUAUUGCACAAUGGGCGAAAGCCUGAUGCAGCUAUGCCGCGUGUAUGAAGAAGGCCUUAGGGUCGUAAAGUACUUUCAUCGGGGAGGAAAAACAAAACUAAUAAUUUUAUUUCUUGACGUUACCCGAAAAAGAAGCACCGGCUAACUCCGUGCCAGCAGCCGCGGUAAUACGGAGGGUGCUAGCGUUAAUCAGAAUUACUGGGCGUAAAGAGCACGUAGGUGGUUUUUUUAAAGUCAGAUGUGAAAUCCCUGGGCUUAACCUGGAACUGCAUUUUGAAACUGAAAUACUAGAGUAUCGUAGAGGGAGGUAGAAUUCUAGGUGUAGCGGUGAAAUGCGUAGAUAUCUGGAGGAAUACCUGUGGCGAAAGCGGCCUCCUAAACGAAUACUGACACUGAGGUGCGAAAGCGUGGGGAGCAAACAGGGAUUAGAUACC